UUAAGAAUCUUGCACAAUGGGCGCAAGCCUGAUGCAGCGACGCCGCGUGGAUGAUGAAGGCCUUCGGGUUGUAAAGUCCGGUAAGCAGGGAAGAAUAAGCGCCGGGUAAUAUUCGGUGUGAUGACGGUACCUGCCUAAAGCCCCGGCUAACUACGUGCCAGCAGCCGCGGUAAUACGUAUGGGGCAAGCGUUGUUCGGAAUUAUUGGGCGUAAAGGGCGUCUAGGCGGGGGAUUAAGUUAGAUGUGAAAGCUAUGGGCUCAACCCAUAAACUGCAUCUAAGACUGGUUCUCUUGAGGCCGGGAGAGGAGAGCGGAAUUCCAGGUGUAGCGGUGAAAUGCGUAGAUAUCUGUAAGAACACCAGUGGCGAAGGCGGCUCUCUGGCCUAGGUCUGACGCUGAAGCGCGAAAGCGUGGGGAGCGAACA
This 424-nucleotide ribosomal RNA is filed under the name uncultured prokaryote. Its description in RNAcentral is "bacterial SSU rRNA". It matches the Rfam family "Bacterial small subunit ribosomal RNA", at positions 355 to 774 of the family's 1533-position model. The record is from RNAcentral.